This 119-nucleotide ribosomal RNA is filed under the name uncultured eukaryote. RNAcentral's name for it is "partial 18S ribosomal RNA". The record is from RNAcentral.
UGGUGGAGUGAUUUGUCUGCUUAAUUGCGAUAACGAAAUAGUCAAGCCAGCUUCGGCUAGUGGCAUGCUUCUUAGAGGGACUAUCGGCUUCAAGCCAAUGGAGGUUUGAGGCAAUAACA